CCUACGGGAGGCAGCAGUCGGGAAUAUUGGACAAUGGGGGAAACCCUGAUCCAGCCACGCCGAGUGAGUGAUGAAGGCCUUAGGGUUGUAAAACUCUGUCGUAAGGGAAGAUAAUGACGGUACCUUACAAGAAAGCACCGGCUAACUCCGUGCCAGCAGCCGCGGUAAUACGGAGGGUGCAAGCGUUACUCGGAAUUACUGGGCGUAAAGCGAGCGCAGGCGGCUUAUUAAGUCGGGUGUGAAAGCCCGGGGCUCAACCCCGGAACUGCAUCCGAAACUGGUGAGCUAGAGGAUGAGAGAGGAAAGUAGAAUUUCUGGUGUAGAGGUGAAAUUCGUUGAUAUCAGAAGGAAUACCCGUGGCGAAGGCGGCUUUCUGGCUCAUUUCUGACGCUGAGGCUCGAAAGUGUGGGUAGCAAACAGGAUUAGAUACCCUGGUAGUCCACACCGUAAACGAUGAAUGCUAGUCGACCGGUUCGUUUACCGACUGGGUGACGCAGUUAACGCAUUAAGCAUUCCGCCUGGGGAGUACGGUCGCAAGAUUAAAACUCAAAGGAAUUGACGG
This 562-nucleotide ribosomal RNA is filed under the name uncultured delta proteobacterium. RNAcentral describes it as "bacterial SSU rRNA". It matches the Rfam family "Bacterial small subunit ribosomal RNA", at positions 338 to 916 of the family's 1533-position model. The record is from RNAcentral. Lineage: Bacteria; Deltaproteobacteria.